RNAcentral lists this long non-coding RNA (421 nucleotides) under Chinchilla lanigera (long-tailed chinchilla). RNAcentral's name for it is "lncRNA (ENSCLAG00000026812.1)". The record is from RNAcentral. Lineage: Eukaryota; Metazoa; Chordata; Mammalia; Rodentia; Chinchillidae.
CAGAGCUGAGCUCACAAAAAUGAUUGAUGAGGCACCGAAUAUGGAAUCUCCCACUUUAAAUUAAGAAACGCAACACGGAGGCAAUGAGAAAAAUACUCCCUGGCCAUAUGUGGCCUCUUAGUGGCCGGACUCCUCUACACACCCUCAUUUUGUCCCUUGCCCACCCCAUCCCUGGGGGCCAUGUGGCUCUGGGCUCCCCAGGUUCUGUGUCUGGAGAAGGAGAUAAUCAGGUCUCCCAGGCAGGGGCACCCCGAGGCCCCACAGGGGCAGCAAUGGAAGCUGGGCACUUGCUCUGCGAAGUGACACCCACUGACUGCACAAGGACCAAGGCUCCCUGUUGAGUUCCCACCGCCCCCCAGCCUAGAGAGAGGUGGCAUCCAUGUGGGGAGCCAGCGAUCCCCAGCCUUUUGGAAAAGGUGAG